UUGGAGGGCAAGUCUGGUGCCAGCAGCCGCGGUAAUUCCAGCUCCAAUAGCGUAUAUUAAAGUUGUUGCAGUUAAAAAGCUCGUAGUUGAAUUUCGGGAUCAAGGGAUCGGUCAUGCCUUGGUAUGUACUGGUCUUAUUGGUUCUCACCUUCUAAAGAACCAUGAUGUCAUUCAUUUGAUGUUAUGGGGAAUUAGGACUGUUACCUUGAAAAAAUUAGAGUGUUUAAAGCAAGCUUACGCUUGAAUACAUUAGCAUGGAAUAAUGAAUUAGGACAUCAGAUUCUAUUUUGUUGGUUUCUAGGAUCGAUGUAAUGAUUAAUAGGGAUAGUUGGGGGCAUUAGUAUUCAAUUGUCAGAGGUGAAAUUCUUGGAUUUAUUGAAGACUAACUACUGCGAAAGCAUUUGCCAAGGAUGUUUUCAUUAAUCAAGAACGAAAGUUAGGGGAUCGAAGACGAUCAGAUACCGUCGUAGUCUUAACCAUAAACUAUGCCGACUAGGGAUCGGAUGAUGUUAAUUUUUUAAUGACUCAUUCGGCGCCUUACGGGAAAC
RNAcentral lists this ribosomal RNA (548 nucleotides) under uncultured Funneliformis. Its description in RNAcentral is "SSU rRNA". It matches the Rfam family "Eukaryotic small subunit ribosomal RNA", at positions 548 to 1098 of the family's 1831-position model. The record is from RNAcentral. Lineage: Eukaryota; Fungi; Glomeromycota; Glomeromycetes; Glomerales; Glomeraceae.